AUGAUGUGCUGCGUCGAGAUUUUCCUUCCGCGCAUGCCGAUGGCCGUCCACGACGCGCUGAGGUGGGUCGGCGCCGUCGUCGGCCUAGUUGUCAUCAUCGUGGGGGGCGGUGUUCUGUGCCUCUCGGCCCGAGUCAGUGUCGUGGUGGGCUGCACGUGUUUCAUGGUCGCUCUCAUCGCCGGGCUCCUGGUGGUCUGGAGAUGGCUUGUUCGCGAGUACGGAGGCGAGGCGUCAGAUAUGUGCACGGAAAAGCACUCUGAAGUUGUUACGACUGACGACUGGCACAUCUACCUGCCGCCUGUCUAG
RNAcentral lists this ribosomal RNA (306 nucleotides) under Triticum aestivum (bread wheat). RNAcentral's name for it is "partial small subunit ribosomal RNA". The record is from RNAcentral. Lineage: Eukaryota; Viridiplantae; Streptophyta; Magnoliopsida; Poales; Poaceae.